This 587-nucleotide ribosomal RNA is filed under the name uncultured haloarchaeon. Its description in RNAcentral is "bacterial SSU rRNA". It matches the Rfam family "Archaeal small subunit ribosomal RNA", at positions 335 to 921 of the family's 1478-position model. The record is from RNAcentral. Lineage: Archaea; Methanobacteriati; Methanobacteriota; Halobacteria; Halobacteriales; Halobacteriaceae.
GCAGGCGCGAAACCUUUACACUGCACGACAGUGCGAUAGGGGGAUCCCAAGUGCACAGGCAUAGCGCCUGUGCUUUUCGGUACCCUAAGGCGGUACCAGAAUAAGGGCUGGGCAAGACCGGUGCCAGCCGCCGCGGWAAUACCGGCAGCCCAAGUGAUGGCCGAUCUUAUUGGGCCUAAAGCGUCCGUAGCUGGCCGUACAAGUCCAUCGGGAAAUCCACCUGCUCAACAGGUGGGCGCCCGGUAGAAACUGUGCGGCUUGGGACCGGAAGGCGCGACGGGUACGUCCGGGGUAGGAGUGAAAUCCCGUAAUCCUGGACGGACCGCCGAUGGCGAAAGCACGUCGCGAGAACGGAUCCGACAGUGAGGGACGAAAGCCAGGGUCUCGAACCGGAUUARAUACCCGGGUAGUCCUGGCCGUAAACAAUGUCUGCUAGGUGUGGCUCCCACUACGAGUGGGUGCUGUGCCGUAGGGAAGCCGYUAAGCAGACCGCYUGGGAAGUACGUCCGCAAGGAUGAAACUUAAAGGAAUUGGCGGGGGAGCACUACAACCGGAGGAGCCUGCGGWUUAAUUGGAUUCAACGCCGG